RNAcentral lists this long non-coding RNA (258 nucleotides) under Manihot esculenta (cassava). RNAcentral describes it as "long non-coding RNA (MESC_LNC012326)". The record is from RNAcentral. Lineage: Eukaryota; Viridiplantae; Streptophyta; Magnoliopsida; Malpighiales; Euphorbiaceae.
CCUGGGGGGGCUAGCAAGGCUGGGGCCUGGGCAUGCGCUAGGCCAUACGUGGGCAUCGGUAUAGCCUGCAAAUAAGCUUGUUAGCCCCCUCUCCACCUCUACCUCUCGAUUCAACAUCAAAAAAAAAAUUCUCGGGCGUGGUGGACGCGGUGGGCCCAUCCCGGGCCCGGUGGGACCCAUUCCAGGGCCAUUGGUGACAGUUCAAGGAAAUGAUCCAGUGGUUUAUCCCAAUGCUUGGGCGCGUUAAAUGGACGCUGG